AGUGUAGGCAAGGGGUGCUGGAGAGGCCGGCUGAGAUUUAGACCCGAUAAGGUCUAUGACCCUGUAACCUGAUCUGGGUAAUGCCAGCGUAGGGAAUGCAGCAGAUUUUCUGA
RNAcentral lists this non-coding RNA (113 nucleotides) under Anaerosporomusa subterranea. RNAcentral describes it as "Anaerosporomusa subterraneum TPP sequence". It matches the Rfam family "TPP riboswitch aptamer (THI element)". Rfam says of the family: Vitamin B(1) in its active form thiamin pyrophosphate (TPP) is an essential coenzyme that is synthesised by coupling of pyrimidine and thiazole moieties in bacteria. The previously detected thiamin-regulatory element, thi box was extended, resulting in a new, highly conserved RNA secondary structure, the THI element, which is widely distributed in eubacteria and also occurs in some archaea. Lineage: Bacteria; Bacillati; Bacillota; Negativicutes; Acetonemataceae. The record is from Rfam by way of RNAcentral.